CUGAUCCAGCCAUGCCGCGUGUGUGAAGAAGGCCUUAUGGUUGUAAAGCACUUUAAGCGAGGAGGAGGCUACUGAGACUAAUACUCUUGGAUAGUGGACGUUACUCGCAGAAUAAGCACCGGCUAACUCUGUGCCAGCAGCCGCGGUAAUACAGAGGGUGCGAGCGUUAAUCGGAUUUACUGGGCGUAAAGCGUGCGUAGGCGGCUUUUUAAGUCGGAUGUGAAAUCCCCGAGCUUAACUUGGGAAUUGCAUUCGAUACUGGGAAGCUAGAGUAUGGGAGAGGAUGGUAGAAUUCCAGGUGUAGCGGUGAAAUGCGUAGAGAUCUGGAGGAAUACCGAUGGCGAAGGCAGCCAUCUGGCCUAAUACUGACGCUGAGGUACGAAAGCAUGGGGAGCAAACAGGAUUAGAUACCCUGGUAGUCCAUGCCGUAAACGAUGUCUACUAGCCGUUGGGGCCUUUGAGGCUUUAGUGGCGCAGCUAACGCGAUAAGUAGACCGCCUGG
Molecule: ribosomal RNA, 502 nt
Filed under: Acinetobacter junii
Lineage: Bacteria; Pseudomonadati; Pseudomonadota; Gammaproteobacteria; Moraxellales; Moraxellaceae
Description: bacterial SSU rRNA
Rfam family: Bacterial small subunit ribosomal RNA
Source: RNAcentral